GCGGAAGUGGUGAAAUUGGUAGACACGCCAUCUUGAGGGGGUGGUGAGCUUAGCUCGUGCGGGUUCAAGUCCCGCCUUCCGCACCA
This 86-nucleotide transfer RNA is filed under the name Shewanella gaetbuli. RNAcentral describes it as "tRNA-Leu". It matches the Rfam family "tRNA". From Rfam's summary of the family: Transfer RNA (tRNA) molecules are approximately 80 nucleotides in length. Their secondary structure includes four short double-helical elements and three loops (D, anti-codon, and T loops). Further hydrogen bonds mediate the characteristic L-shaped molecular structure. tRNAs have two regions of fundamental functional importance: the anti-codon, which is responsible for specific mRNA codon recognition, and the 3' end, to which the tRNAs corresponding amino acid is attached (by aminoacyl-tRNA synthetases). tRNAs cope with the degeneracy of the genetic code in two manners: having more than one tRNA (with a specific anti-codon) for a particular amino acid; and 'wobble' base-pairing, i.e. permitting non-standard base-pairing at the 3rd anti-codon position. Lineage: Bacteria; Pseudomonadati; Pseudomonadota; Gammaproteobacteria; Alteromonadales; Shewanellaceae. The record is from RNAcentral.